RNAcentral lists this RNase P RNA (266 nucleotides) under Rhodobacterales bacterium. Its description in RNAcentral is "partial RNase P RNA component class A". It matches the Rfam family "Bacterial RNase P class A", at positions 1 to 270 of the family's 367-position model. Rfam says of the family: Ribonuclease P (RNase P) is a ubiquitous endoribonuclease, found in archaea, bacteria and eukarya as well as chloroplasts and mitochondria. Its best characterised activity is the generation of mature 5'-ends of tRNAs by cleaving the 5'-leader elements of precursor-tRNAs. The record is from RNAcentral. Lineage: Bacteria; Pseudomonadati; Pseudomonadota; Alphaproteobacteria; Rhodobacterales.
GCGGAUGGCUGGGCGGCCGCGCGAAAGCGAGGAAAGUCCGGACUCUUUACAGCAAUGGCGGCGGGUAACACCCGCCUGGGGUAACCCAAGGGAAAGCGCCACAGAAAAUAAACCGCUCACUAAAUGUGAGUAAGGGUGAAACGGUAGGGUAAGAGCCUACCGCAGUAUUGGUAACAAUAUUGGCAUGGCAAGCCCCGUCAGGAGCAAAACCAAGUAGGAACCGCGUGCCCUUAUGGGCGGGGUCGCUGAAGCCCCAGCAGGUUCGG